CCUACGGGAGGCAGCAGUGGGGAAUAUUGCACAAUGGGCGAAAGCCUGAUGCAGCUAUGCCGCGUGUAUGAAGAAGGCCUUAGGGUUGUAAAGCACUUUCAGCGAGGAGAAAGGGUAAUGUGUUAAUAGGACAUUGCAUUGACGUUACUCGCAGAAGAAGCACCGGCUAACUCCGUGCCAGCAGCCGCGGUAAU
RNAcentral lists this ribosomal RNA (194 nucleotides) under Serratia symbiotica. RNAcentral describes it as "partial 16S ribosomal RNA". It matches the Rfam family "Bacterial small subunit ribosomal RNA", at positions 338 to 524 of the family's 1533-position model. Lineage: Bacteria; Pseudomonadati; Pseudomonadota; Gammaproteobacteria; Enterobacterales; Yersiniaceae. The record is from RNAcentral.